GACGGAGGGUGCUAGCGUUGUUCGGAAUGACUGGGCGUAAAGGGCGCGUAGGCGGCCGCUUGCGUCGGAUGUGAAAGCCCGGGGCUCAACUUCGGAACUGCCUUUGAUACAGCACGUCUUGAGUCCGAUAGAGGUGGGUGGAAUUCCUAGUGUAGAGGUGAAAUUCGUAGAUAUUAGGAAGAACACCGGUGGCGAAGGCGGCCCACUGGACAGUAACUGACGCUCUGGCGCGAAAGCGAGGGUAUCAAACAGG
RNAcentral lists this ribosomal RNA (253 nucleotides) under uncultured bacterium. RNAcentral describes it as "partial 16S ribosomal RNA". It matches the Rfam family "Bacterial small subunit ribosomal RNA", at positions 524 to 776 of the family's 1533-position model. The record is from RNAcentral.